AUUGAACGCUGGCGGCAUGCUUUACACAUGCAAGUCGAACGGCAGCGGGGUAGUGCUUGCACUACUGCCGGCGAGUGGCGAACGGGUGAGUAAUAUAUCGGAACGUACCGAGUAAUGGGGGAUAACCAAUCGAAAGAUUGGCUAAUACCGUAUACGUCCUGAGGGAGAAAGCGGGGGAUCGCAAGACCUCGCGUUAUUCGAGCGGCCGAUAACUGAUUAGCUAGUUGGUGGGGUAAAGGCCUACCAAGGCGACGAUCAGUAGCGGGUCUGAGAGGACGAUCCGCCACACUGGGACUGAGACACGGCCCAGACUCCUACGGGAGGCAGCAGUGGGGAAUUUUGGACAAUGGGGGCAACCCUGAUCCAGCCAUGCCGCGUGUAUGAAGAAGGCCUUCGGGUUGUAAAGUACUUUUGUUAGGGAAGAAAAGGGAAGUGCUAAUACCACUUUUUGCUGACGGUACCUAAAGAAUAAGCACCGGCUAACUACGUG
RNAcentral lists this ribosomal RNA (490 nucleotides) under uncultured bacterium. RNAcentral describes it as "partial 16S ribosomal RNA". It matches the Rfam family "Bacterial small subunit ribosomal RNA", at positions 30 to 507 of the family's 1533-position model. The record is from RNAcentral.